RNAcentral lists this ribosomal RNA (356 nucleotides) under uncultured bacterium. RNAcentral describes it as "bacterial SSU rRNA". It matches the Rfam family "Bacterial small subunit ribosomal RNA", at positions 8 to 350 of the family's 1533-position model. The record is from RNAcentral.
AGAGUUUGAUCAUGGCUCAGGAUGAACGCUAGCUACAGGCUUAACACAUGCAAGUCGAGGGGCAGCAUCAUCAAAGCUUGCUUUGAUGGAUGGGCGACCGGCGCACGGGUGAGUAACACGUAUCCAACCUGCCGACAACACUGGGAUAGCCUUUCGAAAGAAAGAUUAAUACCGGAUGGUAUAGUUUUCCCGCAUGGGAUGAUUAUUAAGAAUUUCGGUUGUCGAUGGGGAUGCGUUCCAUUAGGCAGGUUGGCGGGGUAACGGCCCACCAAACCUACGAUGGAUAGGGGGUUCUGGAGAGGAAGGUCCCCCCACAUUGGAACUGAGACACGGUCCAAAACUCCGUACGGGAGGCA